AACUAACGCUGGCGGCGUGCCUAACACAUGCAAGUCGUACGAGAAAGUUGGCUUCGGCCGAUGAGUAAAGUGGCGCACGGGUGAGUAAUGCGUGGAUAAUCUGCCCUUUAGUUGGGAAUAACGUACCGAAAGGUGCGCUAAUACCUGAUAAUACUGCAUAACUACUGUUGUGUAGUCAAAGAAGGCCUCUGUUUACAAGCUUUUGCUGAAGGAUGAGUCCGCGUACCAUUAGCUGGUUGGUGGGGUAAUGGCCUACCAAGGCUACGAUGGUUAGCUGGUCUGAGAGGAUGAUCAGCCACACUGGAACUGAGACACGGUCCAGACUCCUACGGGAGGCAGCAGUGAGGAAUAUUGCGCAAUGGGGGCAACCCUGACGCAGCAACGCCGCGUGAGUGAGGGAGGUUUUCGGACCGUAAAGCUCUGUCGAGCGGGAAGAAAUGUAUCAUGGCUAAUAUCCAUGAUACUUGACGGUACCGCUAAAGG
This 483-nucleotide ribosomal RNA is filed under the name uncultured bacterium. RNAcentral's name for it is "bacterial SSU rRNA". It matches the Rfam family "Bacterial small subunit ribosomal RNA", at positions 29 to 487 of the family's 1533-position model. The record is from RNAcentral.